This 397-nucleotide ribosomal RNA is filed under the name Ebria sp. Its description in RNAcentral is "partial small subunit ribosomal RNA". It matches the Rfam family "Eukaryotic small subunit ribosomal RNA", at positions 582 to 975 of the family's 1831-position model. Lineage: Eukaryota; Cercozoa; Thecofilosea; Ebriacea. The record is from RNAcentral.
AUUCCAGCUCCAAUAGCGUAUAUUAAAGUUGUUGCAGUUAAAAAGCUCGUAGUUGGAUUUCUGGUUUGAUGCCCUGGCCCGCUGCUAUUUUGGUAGUGUGUGCCGGUUGUGCGUCUGCCAUCCUUCUAGGGAACGUUCCUUCUCUUCACUGAGCCGGGUUCGUGAUCUAGAUCGUUUACUUUGAAAAAAUUAGAGUGUUUAAAGCAGGCUUUUGCUAUGAAUACAUUAGCAUGGAAUAAUAAUCUAGGACUUCGGUCAUAUUUUGUUGGUUUCUGUAACUGAAGUAAUGAUUGAUAGGGAUAGUUGGGGGUGCUAGUAUUGAGCGGCCAGAGGUGAAAUUCUUGGAUUCGCUCAAGACUAACUUAUGCGAAAGCAUUCACCAAGGAUGUCUUCAUUA